This 253-nucleotide ribosomal RNA is filed under the name uncultured bacterium. RNAcentral describes it as "partial 16S ribosomal RNA". It matches the Rfam family "Bacterial small subunit ribosomal RNA", at positions 524 to 776 of the family's 1533-position model. The record is from RNAcentral.
UACGUAGGGGGCCAGCGUUGUCCGGAUUCAUUGGGCGUAAAGCGCGUGUAGGCGGCCAGGUAGGUCCGAUGUGAAAUCUGGAGGCUCAACCUCCAGCGGUCAUUGGAAACCAUCUGGCUAGAGUCCGGAAGAGGAGAGUGGAAUUCCUGGUGUAGCGGUGAAAUGCGCAGAUAUCAGGAAGAACACCAAUGGCGAAGGCAGCCCUCUGGGACGGUACUGACGCUGAGACGCGAAAGCGUGGGGAGCGAACAGG